UGCCUAUUAGCUCAAAUUGGUAGAGCAAUGUGCUAUUGCACAUAGAUGUAGGUUCGAAUCCUACAUAGGUUG
This 72-nucleotide transfer RNA is filed under the name Spinacia oleracea (spinach). It matches the Rfam family "tRNA". From Rfam's summary of the family: Transfer RNA (tRNA) molecules are approximately 80 nucleotides in length. Their secondary structure includes four short double-helical elements and three loops (D, anti-codon, and T loops). Further hydrogen bonds mediate the characteristic L-shaped molecular structure. tRNAs have two regions of fundamental functional importance: the anti-codon, which is responsible for specific mRNA codon recognition, and the 3' end, to which the tRNAs corresponding amino acid is attached (by aminoacyl-tRNA synthetases). tRNAs cope with the degeneracy of the genetic code in two manners: having more than one tRNA (with a specific anti-codon) for a particular amino acid; and 'wobble' base-pairing, i.e. permitting non-standard base-pairing at the 3rd anti-codon position. The record is from Rfam by way of RNAcentral. Lineage: Eukaryota; Viridiplantae; Streptophyta; Magnoliopsida; Caryophyllales; Amaranthaceae.